This 371-nucleotide ribosomal RNA is filed under the name uncultured bacterium. RNAcentral's name for it is "bacterial SSU rRNA". It matches the Rfam family "Bacterial small subunit ribosomal RNA", at positions 29 to 429 of the family's 1533-position model. The record is from RNAcentral.
AACGAACGCUGGCGGCAUGCCUAACACAUGCAAGUCGAACGAAGGCUUCGGCCUUAGUGGCGCACGGGUGCGUAACGCGUGGGAAUCUGCCCUUGGGUUCGGAAUAACUCAGAGAAAUUUGAGCUAAUACCGGAUGAUGACGUAAGUCCAAAGAUUUAUCGCCCAAGGAUGAGCCCGCGUAAGAUUAGCUAGUUGGUGGGGUAAAGGCCUACCAAGGCGACGAUCUUUAGCUGGUCUGAGAGGAUGAUCAGCCACACUGGGACUGAGACACGGCCCAGACUCCUACGGGAGGCAGCAGUGGGGAAUAUUGCGCAAUGGGGGAAACCCUGACGCAGCCACGCCGCGUGGGUGAUGAAGGCCUCGGUUGUAAG